This 1380-nucleotide long non-coding RNA is filed under the name Dasypus novemcinctus (nine-banded armadillo). RNAcentral describes it as "lncRNA (ENSDNOG00000052439.1)". The record is from RNAcentral. Lineage: Eukaryota; Metazoa; Chordata; Mammalia; Cingulata; Dasypodidae.
GACCACUUUCUGUCUCUUGUCUCAGAAUAUUUCGCAAAGUCACAGGCAACAAAACCAACGAACCAACAAAACCAAAACCGAGCAGACGGUUCGCAGGGACCCCGACCCAGACCAGGCAGGGAAGAGGGGCGCGGUGUGGAGGAUCCUGCUCCGGAGAUCCACGCACUCCCCCCCAGCGGCCCAGGCGGCUGCGGUCAACCCUGUGAAGUCCAGGCACCCCAGCUUCCCCACUGGACCGCCAUUGCUGGAGCCCACCCAGGGAGCUCUGGAACCCAGAGGAGACAGCUCCAGGUGGGGCCCUGGCACCCAUUCUGCAGGGCCAGGAGGUUGCAGACCCCUGCCCCUCUAGUCCACUGAGCCUGCCCACAGUCCGCUGAAUGGUCAAGAAGAUUCAAGCCCUCUGCAUUUGUUGAGGCUGGACUUUGGAAGCCCCCUCAGUUCCUCCAGCAAGAUACUCGCUUGGAAACCCAGACUGCCCAGCAGCUUUGCAACCAUGGCUGCCUGUUGACCCACAGCAACAAGACGGCUUGCUUAACCUAUACAGAUGUCCUACCCAGGACUGAGGUGGCCAGUGUGAGCUCUGGGUGGUGCCAGUCCUGCCUCCACUUUAAGUAGCUAUUACAGCUGUGGGUCAUCAGACAGCAGGAAACAGAUCUGCCACCGUGGAGCAGCUGUCAGGGCUGCUAUGUCCAGAUUUGGAGGCUGAGGGUGGGGAAGAAGAGGAGGCAGAAGAGGUGGAGGUGGACCAGGAGGUGGAGGCCACCACAGAGGUGGAGAACAGUGUGCUGGAGGAAAGAGAGAUCAUCCCACUAGUGCCAGAUAAGAAGGCAACGGAGGAAUAUUUUAGCCCAGCUCUCAAAAGAAGGGCUUCUAGGUCAAUGACUCUUUUGCCAAAGACACUUGUUUUAGUUUCAGUUGAGUAGUUUCCAUUUUGUCUUUAUAACACAAUUUUAAGGACCAUUUCAUUUAUCUCUGCUCUAGUUCCCUACUACUGCCACUGAAGGCUGAAGGCUGAGGGGCAGGCUGAGGGGCAUAAGAAGAAUUCUUAUGGGUGUAAUCUUGAUCAAAAUAGUCUAUUUCUAAGAAAGGUUCAUGUUUGAGAAGACAUUGCCUAUCGUCUCUAUCACCAAAAUAAUAUUGCAUGUCUCUUAAGGCAAGGAUCAGGAAUGGCUACAGAGAAAUAGGAUAUUGUUCACAAUUGUGCAGGUAAACUACGUAUGUAUGUUGAGAACCAAUGUAAAUGAUGACUAGAAAAAGGAUGCCAUGCAUUGUUUCCAUUGCUCGAGGUUUUUUUCUCUGUUUUUAACUUUAUAUUUAGAAAAUUUUUAGAUUUACAUUUAGGAAUUUUUUCCUGUUCUUCAACAUUUUAAUAAACACUUA